This 103-nucleotide microRNA precursor is filed under the name Eucalyptus grandis. RNAcentral's name for it is "MIR390 microRNA precursor family". It matches the Rfam family "MIR390 microRNA precursor family". Lineage: Eukaryota; Viridiplantae; Streptophyta; Magnoliopsida; Myrtales; Myrtaceae. The record is from Rfam by way of RNAcentral.
CGGAAGAAUCUGUCAAGCUCAGGAGGGAUAGCGCCUUUAGAUUCGGCAGCCGUCGGUCUCAAGCUUCCGGCGCUAUCCAUCCUGAGUUUUAUGGCUUCUUCUU